AGCCUGAAUAUCGGACCGCAAACUAUCUUUACUGCGUAAGUAGACCUAAUAUAUGCCAUACAUGACCAGUCGAAACACGUAUUAGUACUAAUAACAACAGAACACUCCACAGAAAAACAAUACAGACAAUACAUACAGACAAUUUACAAUUGGCUGUGAGCUAGAACUAUGCUAAAGAGUAAACUACAUCUCUUUUUACUGUUGUGCAAGUUGCACAUCUGCAUAUAUUGAAGCGAUUUCAGGCUGUACAUUGUGAGGUUGGAUCAAGUUUUCUUGUGCAAAAGAAAAAGACAGGAUUGUAGAUGCAACAGAAUAUGCAAAUGACUGUUUUAAAUAUCCUAGUGUAUGGAAACAGUACAUGCGCAUGUGUGUAUACGGUGGCGGAUCGCAAGAGAGGAGCAAGUAACGGUGACGGUGCGAGUUGGAGCGGUCUGUGACGUUGACGGAUCGAGAGGGAGGCGCAGGUAACGGUGAUGGAUCACGAGGAAGACGCUUAAAACAGUGAUGGAGCCAGUGAGAGCGUGUCUGUAGCAGUGACAGGUUGAGUGAGAGCCGAGUUAAUGCUGCCUGUGGCGGUGGCAGGUCGAGAGUUGACACGGAAAGAUUUUACCCCCUCUCGAAAUGUUUUUUCAGUGAGUUUCUUUAUAACCUCACUCUCUUAGAAUAUAAAGUGCAGUAAAAAAAAAAAAAAAAAAAAAAAAAGAGGCUUCUUGGCAAUUAUGUUUUUGCGGAUCUCACACACACACUUGACAUCUGCCCAUGCCUUCUUUUUCACUACGAAAAGGUAAAGUUGAACGCGUUAAUACAGGUGUCAAACUCUUGUAACAGUCUCAAGCCUGUUAAUGAUUCAUUUUCAUGGGUGUAAUACUCAUCCCUGCCUCCAGAGGGUGAUAAACAGCGAGUAUUUCACAGAGUUGUGUAGAAAUGUGAGACAGAAGAAGAGUGAAGACGCAAUUAUUGUUGUUGUAUGUUCAUGCUGAUUUUGUCAAUCCAUCUAAAGUCCUGAUUGAGGAAAUUCUUUUGUUCAUCACUUAUAUCUGCUUCUCCAAAUCACACAGCAAUUGUGAUUCACCCCUGCAGUGAAACCACCUCCUCAGCAAUUCAGCAACACAUGUGGUGAUUAUUUUCAUCAUCCUACAAGUGAAGAAGAAGAAGAAAAAAAAACUCAGUGUUACUAUUGAACUCUACUGGCAUACUAUUGAAAAAAUGAAUUUUGUUAAAGAAGAGUUUAAAGAGGAGAGUGAAGACAUCAGUAUUACAGAACCAUGCAAAAUGAAAAAUGAAGAUACUGAGGAACAAAUAGACUUGAUAGAAGUGAAAGAAGAGAGUAAAGAAGUGAAAGAGGAGAGUCAAGAACUGAAGGACGUGGAGAAGAAAAUUCAUGAUCAUAAAUCUGAUAAUUUCAUCACUGUUGAAGAAUCUUUCAGUGGCUCAAAGCCUGAACAUAAUUUCUCACACAAAAGAACUCGAAGAACAAGAGCCAAAAAUUCUUUGACCUGCUCUCACUUUGGAAAGAGAUUCACACAAAAAAGAGACCUUAACGCCCACUUAAAGCUUCACACUGGAGAGAAGCCUUUCACCUGCCUUCAGUGUGGAAAGAGUUUUGUGCAUAAAAGAAAUGUUCACCGUCACAUGAGAAUUCACACUGGAGAGAAGCCUUUCACCUGCUGUCAUUGUGGAAAGAGUUUUUCACAGAAAAGAAAUGUUCACCGUCACAUGAGACUUCACACCAGAGAGAAGCCUUUCACAUGCCUUGAGUGUGGAAAGAGUUUUGCACAUAAAGAAGAUCUUCAGAGUCACAUGAGAAUUCACACUGGAGAGAAGCCUUUCACAUGCCUUGAGUGUGGAAAGAGUUUUACACAUAAAGAAGAUCUUCAGAGUCACAUCAGAAUUCACACUAUAGAGAAGCCUUUCACCUGCUCUCAGUGUGGAAAGAGUUUCACAAAAAAAAGGAACCUUAACAAUCACUUAAAACUUCACACUGGAGAGAAGCCUUUCACAUGCAUUCACUGUGGAAAGAGUUUUGCACAUAAAGGAUAUCUUAAGCGUCACAUGAGAAUUCACACUGGAGAAAAGCCUUUCACCUGCUCUCAUUGUGGAAAGAGUUUUUCACAGAAAAGAAAUCUUCCCCGUCACAUGAAACUUCACACCAGAGAGAAGCCUUUCACAUGCCUUGAGUGUGGAAAGGGUUUUGCACAUAAAGAAGAUCUUCAGAGUCACAUGAGAAUUCACACUGUAGAGAAGCCUUUCACCUGCUCUCAGUGUGGAAAGAGUUUCACAAAAAAAAGGAACCUUAACAAUCACUUAAAACUUCACACUGGAGAGAAGCCUUUCACAUGCCCUCAGUGUGGAAAGAGUUUUGCACUUAAAGGAAAUCUUCACCGUCACAUGAAAAUUCACACUGGAGAGAAGCCUUUCACCUGCUCUCAGUGUGGAAAGAGUUUUGCACAUAAAAGAAAUUUUCACCGUCACAUGAGAAUUCACACCGUGGAGAAGCCUUUCACAUGCUCUCAGUGUGGAAAGAGUUUUGCACAUAAAGAAGAUCUUCAGCGUCACAUGAGAACUCACACUGUAGAGAAGCCUUUCACCUGCUGUCAGUGUGGCAAGACUUUCAUAGAGAAAGGAAAUCUUCAGCGUCACAUAAGAAUUCACACUGGAGAGAAGCCUUUCACCUGCUCUCAGUGUGGAAAGAGUUUCACACAAGCAAGCCAUCUAACACUUCAUCUGCGCUCUCACUCUGGAUUUAAGCCAUUUAACUGUGAUCAGUGCGGCAAGACAUUUACAGGUGCAUCACAACUAAAGGUUCACAUGAGAAGUCACAUAAAUGAGAUAACUUGUGUUCUUUUUGUGGAAAGAGUUUCAUUACAUCAUCAAUCCUGAAAUCACACGAGAGAGUGCAUGCUGAAGAGAAGCCAUACCACUGUACUUCAUGUGGGAAGAGAUUCAGCCUUUUAAGUAAUCUACACAAUCAUCUAAAAAGCAUUGUCUAAAGUUGUCAAAGUUAAUAUCAUGGAUAACACUUUUUGUUUUGUAACUAGAGCUGUCAAAAGGAAUGUAUUUGAGUAAUAUAAAAUGUUUAACACAUUACUUAUUCUUUUUUAUUUAAUUCUGCUCCGUGUGAGUUUUAAACAGUGGUUGGUGUAGGGCAAAACCUUUGUGAUAUGUCCGGUGGAGACGUUACACUGAUGUACACACCACAAACAAAUACAACAGCGAUUCCGUGUCAAAGAUCAAGUGAUGGAGACAGGACCUCUUAAAUAACAAACACAUAUGGGACUUUUGACAAAAAUGAAGUACUUCACAUCAGUGCUUGAAGUGGAAGUAAAAAAGUGCAGGUUCUGGAGAAGAGUGUGGCUGUGAACCAGAGCAUGUGAGCGAAGCGGAGCGGUGUGACACUCCACUCAAUAACCCGCUCCAUGCGCAUGCACUCUGCUCAACCACUCACGACCCAAACGGACACUCUGCUCAAGUACCACUCAUGCUCACUGGUAAAAAAAGUUUGCUCAAAUCUUGAUCCAACAUAAAAUGUCUCUGUAGUAUACUGGGUGAAUUAUAGGCUAGGCUAUAGGCCGGCAUUUAUUAAAUUAUCAAAUGCUUAUUAACGUAUACAUCUGAAAUUAUGUGAUUGUAUUGUGCUUCAGUAUAUAAAAUCUCGCUGUUUAUUUUGUAAUGGUUUACAACAGCUGUUAGAUAAUCGGGUCUACCAGACCUUCAUUAUCAUUUGUAAUCGGUCAAAUAUUUCUCUGUUGGCACAGUUGAAGUCGGAGUUUACAUACACUUAGGUUGAAGACAUGAAAACUAAUUUUUUAACCACUCUACAGAUUUCAUAUUAGCAAACUAUAGUUUUGGCAAGUCUUUUAGGACAUCUACUUUGUGUAUGACACAAGUCAUUUUUCCAACAAUUGUUUACUGACAGAUUGUUUCACUUUUAAUUGACUAUCACAAAUCCAGUAGGUCAGAAGUUUAUAUACACUAAGUUAAAUGUGCUUUUGCAGCUUGGAAAAUUCCAGAAAAUGAUGUCAAGCCUUUAGACAAUUAGCCAAUUAGCUUCAGAUUGGCUAAUUGGAGUUAAUUAGAAGUGUACCUGUGGAUGUAUUUUAAGGCCUACCUUCAAACUCAGUGCCUCUUUGCUUGACUUCAUGGGAAAAUCAAAAGAAAUCAGAUAAGACCUCAGAAGAAAAAAAAAAUAAAAAAUUGUGGACAUCCACAUGUCAUGUUCAUUCUUGGGUGCAAUUUCCAAAUGCCUGAAGGUACCAUGUUAAUCUGUACAAACAAUAGUACACAAGUAUAAACACCAUGGGACCACGCAGCCAUCAUACCGUUUAGGAAGGAGACGCGUUCUGUCUCCUUGAGACAAAUGUAGUUUGGUGUGAAAAGUGCAAAUCAAUCCCAGAACUACAGCAAAGGACCUUGUGAAGAUGCUGGAGGAAACAAGUAGACAAGUGUCUAUAUGCACAGUAAAACGAGCCCUAUAUCGACAUAAUCUGAAAGGCUGCUCAUCAAGGAAGAAGCCACUGCUCCACAACCACCAUAAAAAGCCAGACUACAGUUUGCAAGUGCACAUGGGGACAAAGAUCUUACUUUUUGUAGAAAUGUCCUCUGGUCUGAUGAAACAAAAAUUGAAUUGUUUGGCCAUAAUGACCAUCGUUGUAUAUGGUGGAAAAAGGGUGAGGCUUGCAAGCCAAAGAACACCAUCCCAACCGUGAAGCAUGGGGGUGGCAGCAUCAUGUUGUGGGGGUGCUUUGCUGCAGGAGGGACUGAUGCGCCUCACAAAAUAGAUGGCAUCAUGAGUAAGGAAAAUUAUGUGGAUAUAUUAAAGCAACAUCUCAAGAAAUCAGCCAGGAAGUUAAAGCAAAUGGGUCUUCCAAAUGGACAAUGACCCCAAGCAUACCUCCAAAGUUGUGGCAAAAUGGCUUAAGGACAACAAAGUCCAGGUAUUGGAGUGGCCAUCACAAAGCCCUGACCUCAAUCCGAUAGAAAAUUUGUGGGCAGAACUGAAAAAGCAUGUACGAGCAAGGGGGCCUACAAACCUGACUUGGUUACACCAGUUCUGUCUGGAGGAAUGGGCCAAAAUUCCAGCAACUUAUUGUGAGAAGCUUGUGGAAGGCUACUCAAAACGUUUGACCCAAGUUAAACAAUUUAAAGGCAAUGCUACCAAACACUAACAAAGUGUAUGUAAACUUCUGACCCACUGGGAAUGUGAUGAAAUAAAUAAUUAUAUCUACUAUUAUUCUGACAUUUCUCAUUCUUAAAAUAAGGUAGUGAUCCAAACUGAUCUAAGACAGGGAAUGUUUUCUGAGUUUAAAUGUAUUUGGCUUCAACUGUAUGUAUUUUUCCCCUACUAUGUUUGAGUUUCAUUUUACUUUUUUCCCAAUCUUUUAAUAUGCAUCUGUAUUGUAUUGUAGCACUUUGGGUAUGAGAAAAGUGCAUAGUAAUAAUAAUAAUACAUUUUAUUUAUUAAGUCAGCCUCCCACUUAGACCUCAGGAAAUGUUUCAUGUUGCUUGAUUUGGUGAUAUUUUAGUGUAUCUAUCUUUAUGUGGAAGGCUUUGUUUGGAAAAUGGAAAGAAAGCAUUAUUAUUACAUUUUUAUUUUUGAUUUUUAUUUUAUUUCCUAAGGAAAUAAAUGCA
RNA transcript from Myxocyprinus asiaticus (Chinese sucker), 5628 nucleotides. It is a transcript of the gene named gastrula zinc finger protein XlCGF57.1-like, with no coding region annotated. The transcript has 4 exons. Lineage: Eukaryota; Metazoa; Chordata; Actinopteri; Cypriniformes; Catostomidae. The record is from RefSeq and is a predicted model, not a curated record.